Molecule: non-coding RNA, 287 nt
Organism: Paramuricea clavata
Lineage: Eukaryota; Metazoa; Cnidaria; Anthozoa; Malacalcyonacea; Plexauridae
Source: the annotation of a GenBank genome assembly
ACCACAUGUACCUGUAGGCUACCCACAUGUACGCAAUGCGUACCUAUUUUUGACAAUCUAACUCCAACUAAUUUGUAAAAGAACAGGAGGUAUACACUACACAAAUCCUUUUCAGAAUCCGUUUUCUUAAAGUUUAUUAAUAUUUAAACACUAAGGCCCGUUUCAGACGGCGUACUUUUCAUGUGCCGAACUUAAUACACCCUUUGUCCCUUUCGAUAAUUACGUCACAACUACACUGUUUUCAACUUGGGACCACCUACAGGUAAACUGGAAAAGAUUUCAAGUUU